GUUGUGCAUGUUAUCAUGAGUUAUCUGCUUAUACUAUAUUUUUGUUAUUGUAGAUUAACUGUAUAAAUAGUAUUCUCACUGUCACUUGGAGGUAUACUAGAUGUAAAUAAAUUAAUCAGAUCAAAUUAUAUGGACUGGUUGAGAAAUUUGAGAAUAGUUCUCAUAUAGAAGAAAGUCUCCUAUAUACUGGAUUCACCUGCACUCGAUACGAUUAGAAAAGAUGCAUCUG
This 229-nucleotide long non-coding RNA is filed under the name Elaeis guineensis (African oil palm). Its description in RNAcentral is "long non-coding RNA (EGUI_LNC022032)". The record is from RNAcentral. Lineage: Eukaryota; Viridiplantae; Streptophyta; Magnoliopsida; Arecales; Arecaceae.